Molecule: ribosomal RNA, 468 nt
Filed under: uncultured bacterium
Lineage: Bacteria
Description: partial 16S ribosomal RNA
Rfam family: Bacterial small subunit ribosomal RNA
Source: RNAcentral
GACGAACGCUGGCGGCGUGCUUAACACAUGCAAGUCGAACGGAAAGGCCCUGCUUUUGUGGUGUGCUCGAGUGGCGAACGGGUGAGUAACACGUGAGUAACCUGCCCUUGACUUUGGUAUAACUUCAGGAAACUGGGGCUAAUACAGGACAGGAGCCCCUGCUGCAUGGUGGGCGUUGGAACGUCUCGGCGGUUGGGGUUGGACUCGCGGCUUAUGAGCUUGUUGGUGGGGUAGUGGCUUACCCAGGCUUUGACGGGUCGGCCGCCUGAGAGGGUGAACGGCGACCAUGGGACUGAGGUACGGACCAGAGUGCUACGGGAGGCAGAAGUGGGGAAUAUUGCACAGUGGGCGGAAGCCUGAUGCAGCAGCGCCGCGUGCGGGAUGACGGCCUUCGGGUAGUAAACAGCUUUCGCCUAUGACGAAGCGUGAGUGACGGUAAUGGGUAAAGAAGCACCGGCUAACUACGUG